Molecule: ribosomal RNA, 1264 nt
Filed under: uncultured Sebacina
Lineage: Eukaryota; Fungi; Basidiomycota; Agaricomycetes; Sebacinales; Sebacinaceae
Description: eukaryotic LSU rRNA
Rfam family: Eukaryotic large subunit ribosomal RNA (bases 591-1264)
Source: RNAcentral
UUCCGUAGGUGAACCUGCGGAAGGAUCAUUAAUGAAACUUCAAGUCGGCUGUUCUGUGCUGGUGGCAACACAUGUGCACGUUCAGUCGCAAUCCACACACCUGUGCACUUUGACUCUGAGCACCGCCGGUAACACGGCAGAAGGUUUGAGAUGAAGGUCUUAACCUGGUACUCGAGUAGUUUACACACUCUGUAUGUAAUAGAAUGUAACUGUACAAUGUACAACUAUAAACAACUUUCAACAACGGAUCUCUUGGCUCUCGCAUCGAUGAAGAACGCAGCGAAAUGCGAUAAGUAAUGUGAAUUGCAGAAUUCAGUGAAUCAUCGAAUCUUUGAACGCACCUUGCACCCUUUGGUAUUCCGAAGGGUACACCCGUUUGAGUGUCAUUGUAAUCUCACUCCAACACCUUUAUUGAUGUUGGAUGUGGACUUGGAUGUUGUCGUGUUCAACGACUCGUCUUAAAUGCCUGAGUGUACCCUGCUUUGCAGCGUAUCAGUGUGAUAAACAUCUUCACUGUUAAGUCUUUUGGGACACGCUUGUGUUGUAGGCUCUAUGCUUUCCAACCGUCCUCUGGACAAUCUCUGACAAUUUGACCUCAAAUCAGGUGGGACUACCCGCUGAACUUAAGCAUAUCAAUAAGCGGAGGAAAAGAAACUAACAAGGAUUCCCCUAGUAACGGCGAGUGAAGAGGGAAAAGCUCAAAUUUUGAAUCUGGUGUCUUUGACUCCCGAGUUGUAAUCUAGAGAAGUGUUUUCCGCGUUGGACCGUGCAAAAGUUCCCUGGAACGGGGCGUCAUAGAGGGUGAGAAUCCCGUAUAUGGCACGGACUACCAUUGCUAUGUGAUACACUCUCAACGAGUCGAGUUGUUUGGGAAUGCAGCUCAAAAUGGGUGGUAAAUUCCAUCUAAAGCUAAAUAUUGGCGAGAGACCGAUAGCGAACAAGUACCGUGAGGGAAAGAUGAAAAGCACUUUGGAAAGAGAGUGAAACAGUACGUGAAAUUGUUGAAAGGGAAGCGUUUGAAGUCAGUCACGUCUGUCGGAAUUCAGCCUGGCUUCUGCCUGGUGUAUUUUCUGGCUGACGGGUCAGCAUCAAUUUCGACUGAGGGAAAAAGACUUGGGGAAUGUGGCUGUCUUCGGGCAGUGUUAUAGACCCUUGUUGUAUGUCUCGGUUGGGAUUGAGGAAUGCAGCGCGCCUUUUGGCUGGGGUUCGCGCCCUCGGUACGCGCUUAGGAUGCUGGCAUAAUGGCUUUAAGCGACCCGUCUUG